Molecule: long non-coding RNA, 7027 nt
Filed under: Oryza sativa (Asian cultivated rice)
Lineage: Eukaryota; Viridiplantae; Streptophyta; Magnoliopsida; Poales; Poaceae
Description: long non-coding RNA (OSAT_LNC000861)
Source: RNAcentral
GCAAGCUCGCUCGAGCUCGGCUCGUUGACAGCCCUAGCGCCGAUGUCGUUGGCGGCGCCCGCGGAGACCGGGAGCAAGGCCACCGUCCGCCACCGCUCGCCCUUCUCCUUGCAGGCUUGCAGUGUAUGGGAGAGGGAGAGAGGGGAUAGAGAGAAGAGGGAGGCUGACAUGUAGGACCACAUGGGCACUACCUUUUUAAAUUAUUUUUACAUGUAUCUGACAUGUGGGUCCUACGGUUUUUAUUAUUUUUUCGGGAUAAAAUUACCACGUAAGCGCCACGUCAACGCCACGUGGGAUGAAGACCUAGUCAAAGGAGCCACGUCGGCCAAAACCGCCCUCCAUACUGCCGAGGGACCUCGUUUACCCGGUUUCGUAAGUUGGGGGACGGGUCGUACCCGGUCUUGCGGUCAAGGGACGAAAAUCGGACUGACCGACAAAUAGAGGGACCUAAAGUGAACUUAUUUCCUCAGCAGGUAGUCAAUGGUAGAGUUGGGCUGUAAAUACUCGGCCCAUCUCGAUGAUGCUGGAGGUGGUGCUCGUUCAUUUCCUUAUAGGCUUCAUGGAUUAAAUCACAGGAUCGUUGAUGGACUAAUUAUAGGCCCGCCGGAGCCAGCCCAGCCGUAGAGUAGAGGCCACCGAGCCGGCACUGGGGCGGCCCAUCCGAGGUGGAGGCCGUUCCUCCCGAAUUCCCGAUCCGCUACUGAGGUGGCGGAGAUGUUGCAGGCGAAGGCGCGGCGAGGCAGGAGAGCGAGCGGCCGCCGGCCAGGACGUGGAGGCCGGAUCGAGGAUGCAGGCGGUGGCGGUUAAGCAGGGAGCAGACGGCAUCAAGGGAAGAAGCGCGGCAGGUCUCUGUUGAACUUGCACACCUCUCAAAGGUGCAGUGCCUAUCUAAUCUCUAAUACCGAUUAUAGGGUUCUAACCCUAGCCAAAGAUUGGGCCACGUGGCGUCUCAGAAAUCAAGUUUUGCGCCUCUGAAAAUAUGCCACGUGUCUCCUUUCUCUCCUCCCCCACCGUUCGAUCGAGUAUCGACGGUUAAAUUUCGCUGCGAUGGACCUCUUUAUAAAACUGAGGUUUGAAAAAAACUGACCUACCUACUAAAGACGGUAGGGGGUCUUGGAAAUGUAGGCCGACACAGGUCGUAGCUGCAGUGCCGAAGUACCUGGCACCCCCACCCCCACCCCCAUCCCCAUGCAUGCGCUGCAUGCAAACCUCGGGUGAUUAUCCAUCUAAUCCAUACAAUUAGCUCAUUAAUUAGUUGCAAGUUGAGCCUAUAUCUAGCUGUCCACCUGAGUUAAUUAACAUAUCAAAGCGAUGUGGUUGCAAGUCUCCAAAACUAAAAAGGAUGAAUAGAAAUGAUGUCGUGUCAUUCAAGUAUUGAGUAAAGUUGGUGCUAUUUAGUGACAUAGUUUAAAAUUGGUUCUUUUUAUGCUAUAUUAAGGGUAUGUUCUGAUUGUAGCCAAAAUAAACCUUACCAAAUUUUGGCAUUGGCGGCAAGUUGAUAAUAUUCCCAAAAUUUUGGCAGGAUUUCUUAUGUAUUUACCAAAGUUUGGCAACAAACUAAACGUAGGCACUUUUUUAACAACUUUACCCAAAAAAUGGUAUGGCUAAAAAUGGCAUAAAUCUGAACAGCCCCUAAAGUACAUUCAGACUCGGACAUACACUCUCCAUCCUAAAAUAAGUUCAAUUUUAUAUAUGAAUCUAGAAGAAUGUGUUGAAAUAUAUAAAAAAAAUCAUAUCAACAAUCAUUUUAUGUAUAUAUUAGUGCAAACGACAAAUAACCACAAAAUUCAAAAUAUAAUUAUACGAGGGGCGACUACGUAUAUUAGAGCGAACAAAAGUCGACUGGGCGUGAGGCCAAUCUGCCACUCUGCAGGAUUUAAGCCACCAAGAUUCACAUCAUUGUCUACCGAGGCGUUGAUGAGUUCUUACGUCUCGUGCCACCACCCCUAUCUCUAAAUCCUGGCUUCGUCAUUGUGUAGCUGGAUCGGUCGACCCACCCUGUCUAGGUACAAUAAAUCUGGUUAAGGAAAGGAAAACAAUAGUAGGAUUGCAUAUACACUGUACGACUCAUGUUCCCUAAUGAGAAACCAGAUUCGAGCGUUUGUCAAUGAUAAACCAUAGAAUUCUCCUUUAACUGCAUUUUCUAAGAAUAAACAGCAUGACAUUUAUGGUGAUGCCAUCCUAUUACGAUAUCCUUUUCUUGGGGUCAAGGGCAACGUACGGUAUCCUCACUUAUCUGCCAUGCAUCUCUUUUUACCAUGGCCAUGAAGAUGCUCUGCCCUGUAUCACGGUAAGCCGAGAAAAGGGCUGAUGGAUGAGAAGAUAAUGCGCGGCCACGUAUCAUCACGGUAAGCCUUCUUUGCAGGUUGCACCACCUUGCUCGUCUAUGGACUCAGCUGCUAGUCAGCCUUUUAAUUGCCCAGAGCAAAUUAUACUUUGGUUCAUAUUUUAUUUCUAAAGUUUUAGUUUGCACGGCAACUUUUUAAUAUUUUCCGUUUGUACUCUCGAUUUAUAGUCAAUAAAGUCAUUUUCAUCCGUCGUUAGUAAUCCGUAAUCUGUUGAGAACGCAGCCUGUUGUGCUGGGUUUUUCUGUCUAGUAGGUUUUUGAACGUACAGGUUUUCCUAAUUUCCUUUGUGUUUCAUCCCGAUAUGACGGACAAAAAAGUAUCUGCAUACACGUCGCUUCCUAGUUCCUUCGGUCUCAAGAUUCUGGAAACAAUGUAUACGUACGUCAGUAACAUAUAUACUGAAUGAUAACAAUGUAUAUUUCUGUGUGCUUCGUGCUUCGCAGGCUCGCAGCUAAGCGAAGAAACAAGGCAGAACAAAUAUGGCCUGCCUGAGCCACAACCUCCCAGUUUUCAUCCACUUGCUACUACUAAUCUCUUUCUGCAGAUGCGAUGACCAGUUGAGACAUGCGAAGCGACUAAUCUCUCCUAGCGACAUGCUCAUCUCCAAAGGUGGAGACUUUGCGCUCGGAUUCUUCUCCCCGGCCACCUCCAACCAGAGCUUAUUCCUUGGUAUAUGGUAUCACAAUAUCUCCGAGCGCACCUAUGUUUGGGUUGCCAACCGCGACGACCCGAUCGCUGCAUCUUCAUCCGCGACGCUCUCCAUCAGCAACAAUUCUGCUCUUGUAUUGUCAGAUUCCAAAGGCCGCACCCUAUGGACGACGAUGGCAAGUCCCAACAGUAUUGUCACCGAAGACGACGGAGUUUACGCGGUGCUGCUCGACUCAGGAAAUUUGGUUCUUCGGCUAUCGAACAAUACAACCAUAUGGCAAAGCUUUGAUCAACCAACUGAUACCAUUCUGCCCAACAUGAAGUUUUUAGUGAGAUCCUACGGACAAGUCGCCAUGCGGUUCAUCGCUUGGAAGGGCCCAGAUGACCCAUCCACCGGGGAUUUCUCCUUCAGCGGCGAUCCCACGUCAAACUUUCAGAUCUUCAUCUGGCACGAGACAAGGCCAUAUUACCGUUUCAUUCUGUUUGAUAGUGUCUCGGUGUCCGGUGCAACAUACUUGCACAACAGCACCUCUUUUGUCUAUAAAACAGUCGUGAACACUAAGGAUGAGUUUUACCUCAAGUACACAAUCUCUGAUGAUUCACCAUACACGCGCGUCAUGAUUGACUACAUGGGCAACUUUAGGUUCAUGAGUUGGAACAGCAGCUUGUCCUCAUGGACUGUCGCAAAUCAACUCCCAAGGGCCCCUGGCUGCGAUACCUAUGGCUCGUGUGGCCCAUUCGGCUACUGCGACCUCACGUCGGCCGUCCCAAGUUGCCAAUGCCUCGAUGGGUUUGAGCCUGUUGGCUCCAAUUCUUCUUCAGGAUGCCGGAGAAAGCAACAAUUGAGAUGUGGAGAUGACCAUUUUGUGAUCAUGUCUAGAAUGAAGGUUCCUGACAAGUUCUUGCAUGUCCAGAACAGAAACUUCGACGAGUGCACGGACGAGUGUACCCGCAACUGCUCGUGCACGGCCUACGCCUACACCAACUUGACCGCAACCGGCACCAUGUCCAACCAGCCAAGGUGUUUGCUUUGGACAGGGGAGCUUGCCGACGCGUGGAGGGACAUCAGGAACACCAUUGCUGAGAACCUGUACCUCCGGUUGGCCGAUUCUACUGGUAUGCCCACCCUUUUUCCCCUGCGACGAUAGAAUAGCUCUUAGAUUAGCAGUCCUGAAUUUUGUUCACUUGUGUUGAUAGGACACACUUCAAACUCAACAGAAAGAAAAAAGAAUCUAGUGAAGGUGGUAGUCUAAAUUUAGCAUGCCUGUUUUUGAACACGACCACCAGGUUACUAUCUCCCACAAGCUUGCAAGCUACUGUAUGUUUGACGCUGUAACUUCUGUUCACCCACAUUCUUCACAGGGUCAAAUUCUACAGUAAACAGAAAGAAGAAGAGGCACAUGGUGGUAAAUAUUGUACUCCCAGCUAUAGUGUGCCUACUAAUACUCACAGCGUGCAUAUAUCUUGUCAGUAAAUGCAAGUCAAGAGGUACUAUAAGCAGUAGGACCUGCUUAAUUGCAAAGCGUGCAUAUAUCUUGUCAGUAACUGUAAGUAUUGACAUUGUUGAUUUUACUAUAAGGCGUCCGACAAAACAAGGAAAAAACGAAAAGACCUGUCAUUCAACAGUUGAGCACUAUUCAUGAUUUGUGGGAUCAAAAUCUGGAAUUUCCAUGUAUUAGCUUUGAAGACAUCACUGCUGCAACAGACAGUUUCCAUGACACCAACAUGCUUGGAAAAGGAGGUUUUGGCAAAGUAUAUAAGGUGAUAUAUAAUUUUACCUUGUCAUUCUGUCAAUGAUAUGAGGAAUAGCGAUGUCAUUUACUCCUAUUACUUUAAUAAUGAUGAAAUCACACAGGGAACAUUGGAGGAUGGCAAGGAAAUUGCUGUUAAAAGGCUCAGCAAGUGUUCUGAGCAAGGGAUGGAGCAGUUCAGAAAUGAACUGGUUCUUAUUGCCAAACUGCAACACAAAAACUUAGUUAGACUUCUUGGUUGCUGUAUUCAUGGAGAUGAGAAGCUGCUUAUUUACGAAUACUUGCCCAACAAAAGCUUAGAUAAAUUCCUUUUCAGUAUGUUCGACCAAUCCAAAGAAAUACUCUUGCUUGGUUAAUUAUUUGUUUGAUUCUACUAUCCUAACUGUGUUCUGGGCAGAUCAUACAACAGAGGCUACACUUGAUUGGCUGACAAGGUUCAACAUUAUCAAAGGGGUAGCAAGAGGACUUCUUUAUCUCCAUCAAGAUUCAAGAAUGAAGAUAAUUCAUAGAGAUCUCAAAGCAAGCAACAUACUGCUCGAUGGAGAGAUGAACCCCAAAAUAUCGGAUUUUGGUAUGGCGAGGAUAUUUGGAGGCAAUGAGCAACAAGAAAGUACUAGACGAGUUGUUGGGACAUAGUAAGUAACUUCUGCUCUUGCCAACCAAAAUUAUUCAAAUACCCAGGUUCUGGAAAUUAUUAAACUUCUUUCUUAUUCAAAUAGUGGUUACAUGUCACCUGAAUAUGCAAUGGAAGGCACCUUUUCAGUCAAGUCCGACACAUAUAGCUUUGGUAUUUUGCUUCUAGAAAUUGUAAGUGGAUUAAAGAUCAGCUCACCUCAUCAUCUUGUGAUGGAUUUUCCAAACCUUAUAGCUUACGUAAGUGUUGCCGGUACCCAAUGCUUCAAAAUUUAACAAUCAAAGAACAAACAUAACAUUGCCAGAACAAAUAUUGAAGUUAUUCUCUUGUUUCAGGCAUGGAACUUAUGGAAAGAUGGAAGACAAAGGGAUUUUGUGGACAAAUCAAUUUUGGAGAGCUGUUCCCUCAGCGAAGUUUUUAAAUGCAUCCAUAUUGGACUCAUGUGUGUUCAGGACAGCCCAAAUGCUAGGCCACUGAUGUCAUUCGUUGUGUCUAUGCUGGAGAACGAGGACAUGCCACACCCAAUUCCAACACAACCUAUAUAUUUUGUGCAGAGGCAUUAUGAAUCAGAAGAACCAAGAGAAUACUCAGAUAAAUCUGUUAAUAAUGUGAGUCUGACUAUACUAGAAGGCCGCUGAAUAAAUGUUUUAGCAUAAGCUCUAAACAGAUGGAUGGUUGUAUAGUACAUUAGUACGGAAUACUUUCUCCGUUUCACAAUGUAAGUCAUUCUAGCAUUUUUCAUAUUCAUAUAGAUGUUAAUGAAUCUAAAUAGAUAUAUAUGUCUAGAUUUAUUAACAUCAAUAUGAAUGUGGGAAAUGCUAGAAUGACUUACAUUGUGAAACGGAGGGAGUAGUAAACAAUGAACUGAAAGAUAUUGGAAAGAAUGCAUUCCGUAGGUGGUUGUGCGCUUGUGCUACUUGUUUUUUUCUCAUCUGCUUUGCUCUAUCAAUAUAUUAGGAAGAGCUAAUUUAUGUUCAAAAAUUGAAUAGAUACUCCUCUAACAGAAUAAUGAUUAGAGAUCCACACAAGUGAUCAUUUGCCAUGCGUCUUUUCUUUUGUGAAAUAUAUUGAGCAGGUAUUUGAAAGGUCAUCUAAUUAAGGAUGGAAGAAUCUAUCCAAGGCGAAGUGCUCCAGCAGCGCUUGGGGUCUAUGUUUAUGUGUGGCGGGUGGUUCCAAUCCCCGCUCUACCUCACGGGCUUGACUCAUGCAUGAAUCAGCCAUCCCCAGAUGCCCAACCUAGAACCAAAAAUUGGAGGCUUGGGUCGAAAAAUUAGUUAAAAUCAUGCCUGCCCGUGCUGGGUUCAUACCGUCUGCACCCUGGACGCGCCGCCGCUCGCCACACGCUCUCCCUCCUCUCCGGCGCGCCCGUGCAGCGGAUGAUGUCGCGACUCGCGAAUGGCCGUGCCGCACGGAGUCGGAUCAACUCAAUCCGCAUCGAAAAAUCGGAGGUUUGGGGGGGAGGGGGGGGGUGUCCGGAACCUGGCCUGCUCCGUGAGCUCGCGCAACCGCCACCGCCUGCAUCCUCGAUCCGGCCUCCCCGUCCUGGCCGGCGGCCGCUCGCUCUCCCGCCUCGCCGCGCCAUCGUCGGCAACAUCUCCGCCACUUCGCCCGCGCCGUCGGCUUGCAGUGGCGGAUCGCCUCCUCGG